AUGCGGAUCAUAGCGCAGCUGAUUGAGGUGUUCUUGCUCAUCCUGAUCGCUGAAUGGGUGCCCUACAUUGCUGUCGCACAUGUGGUUGUGGUUCCUGAGAGUGCACACAGCCACGGCUACAUCUCCAAAAGAAUCAUGACAGGCAUCUCAGAUUGGCCGUCCUAG
RNAcentral lists this ribosomal RNA (165 nucleotides) under Triticum aestivum (bread wheat). Its description in RNAcentral is "partial small subunit ribosomal RNA". Lineage: Eukaryota; Viridiplantae; Streptophyta; Magnoliopsida; Poales; Poaceae. The record is from RNAcentral.